Tripterygium wilfordii is the source of this 590-nucleotide long non-coding RNA. RefSeq lists it as uncharacterized. NCBI's taxonomy places the organism in Eukaryota, Viridiplantae, Streptophyta, Magnoliopsida, Celastrales, Celastraceae. The transcript is spliced from 3 exons. The record is from RefSeq and is a predicted model, not a curated record.
GUCUUUCUGUGCUCUACUUGCUCCUCUCCCUCGCUGAGAUGCAGAGCUAGCUAAGCGCAACAAUGUUAUAACUGAAUACCACAACCCCCAUAAAUCCUCGCCUUCAAGGACGAGAAAGGGAUACGAGAGAUCUGGAUGUUAUGGAGCUGUUCUGGUACUUGAUGGAGUGAUUGUCAAGUCUGUGGAGUGAUACUGGGCUCGAAUCAUCAAGAAAUAUAUUUUUUUGAGCCGCCGAUGCCGAGGAUUUGACGAUUGGUAAGAAGUCGAUGAGGAGAAGUAUGAGAAGAAGAGAGGCAAAACCUGCAGAUGGGUUCGGUGGUCUUCUUCUUUGAUGGGAAUUAGUAUGGGUUUGUUGAGGACCUUGAGGUCAAUGUAUCGAAAACUAUGGUGAAUAGCUCCCCCUUCUUCAAAGUUCUGCAUGCUCUUUGUGAUGGCUUUCUCUAGUUCUAUGAGAGAGAAAUUUAAAAAAGUUGAGUAAAAUAAAGGGGUUUGAUUGGUGCAAGUAGCUGUCAUGUGGCAAUUAAUAUGACCAUUGGAUGAUAUAAAUGGAUGAGAUUAAAAAGAUUUCAGGAAUUCCACCUUAAACAUAU